GUGCAAGCGUUAAUCGGAAUUACUGGGCGUAAAGCGUGCGCAGGCGGUUUGUUAAGUCCGCUGUGAAAUCCCCGAGCUCAACUUGGGAAUUGCAGUGGUUACUGGCAAGCUGGAGUAUGGUAGAGGAAGGUGGAAUUCCCGGUGUAGCAGUGAAAUGCGUAGAGAUCGGGAGGAACACCAGUGGCGAAGGCGGCCUUCUGGACCAAUACUGACGCUCAUGCACGAAAGCGUGGGGAGCAAACAGG
RNAcentral lists this ribosomal RNA (245 nucleotides) under uncultured bacterium. RNAcentral's name for it is "partial 16S ribosomal RNA". It matches the Rfam family "Bacterial small subunit ribosomal RNA", at positions 532 to 776 of the family's 1533-position model. The record is from RNAcentral.